UGGGGAAUUUUGGACAAUGGGGAAACCCUGAUCCAGCCAUCCCGCGUGUGCGAUGAAGGCCUUCGGGUUGUAAAGCACUUUUGGCAGGAAAGAAACGUCGCGGGUUAAUACCCCGCGAAACUGACGGUACCUGCAGAAUAAGCACCGGCUAACUACGUGCCAGCAGCCGCGGUAAUACGUAGGGUGCAAGCGUUAAUCGGAAUUACUGGGCGUAAAGCGUGCGCAGGCGGUUCGGAAAGAAAGAUGUGAAAUCCCAGAGCUUAACUUUGGAACUGCAUUUUUAACUACCGGGCUAGAGUGUGUUAGAGGGAGGUGGAAUUCCGCGUGUAGCAGUGAAAUGCGUAGAUAUGCGGAGGAACACCGAUGGCGAAGGCAGCCUCCUGGGAUAACACUGACGCUCAUGCACGAAAGCGUGGGGAGCAAACAGGAUUAGAUACCCUGGUAGUCCACGCCCUAAACGAUGUCAACUAGCUGUUGGGGCCUUCGGGCCUUGGUAGCGCAGCUAACGCGUGAAGUUGACCGCCUGGGGAGUACGGUCGCAAGAUUAAAACUC
RNAcentral lists this ribosomal RNA (553 nucleotides) under uncultured bacterium. RNAcentral's name for it is "partial 16S ribosomal RNA". It matches the Rfam family "Bacterial small subunit ribosomal RNA", at positions 355 to 902 of the family's 1533-position model. The record is from RNAcentral.